Molecule: ribosomal RNA, 114 nt
Filed under: Pteropus alecto (black flying fox)
Lineage: Eukaryota; Metazoa; Chordata; Mammalia; Chiroptera; Pteropodidae
Source: RNAcentral
GUCUACGGCCAUGCCAGCCUGAACGAGCUCGAUUUCGUCUGAUCUCAUGAGCUAAACAGGGCCUGGUUAGUACUUGGUUGAGAGACCACCUAGGAAGACCAGGUGCUGUAGGCA